CGUGUAGGCGGUUUGUUUAGUCUGAUGUGAAAGCCCCGGGCUCAACCUGGGAAGUGCAUUGGAUACUGGCAGACUUGAGUACGGGAGAGGGUAGUGGAAUUCCUAGUGUAGGAGUGAAAUCCGUAGAUAUUAGGAGGAACACCGGUGGCGAAGGCGGCUGCCUGGACCGAUACUGACGCUGAGACGCGAAAGCGUGGGGAGCAAACAGGAUUAGAUACCCUGGUAGUCCACGCCGUAAACGAUGAGAACUAGGUGUUGCGGGUAUUGACCCCUGCAGUGCCGUAGCUAACGCAUUAAGUUCUCCGCCUGGGAAGUACGGUCGCAAGACUAAA
This 332-nucleotide ribosomal RNA is filed under the name uncultured bacterium. RNAcentral describes it as "bacterial SSU rRNA". It matches the Rfam family "Bacterial small subunit ribosomal RNA", at positions 568 to 898 of the family's 1533-position model. The record is from RNAcentral.